RNAcentral lists this ribosomal RNA (253 nucleotides) under uncultured bacterium. RNAcentral describes it as "partial 16S ribosomal RNA". It matches the Rfam family "Bacterial small subunit ribosomal RNA", at positions 524 to 776 of the family's 1533-position model. The record is from RNAcentral.
UACGGGGGGGGCAAGCGUUGUUCGGAAUUACUGGGCGUAAAGGGCUCGUAGGCGGCCAACUAAGUCCGACGUGAAAUCCCCAGGCUUAACCUGGGAACUGCGUCGGAUACUGGAUGGCUUGAAUUCGGGAGAGGGAUGCAGAAUUCCAGGUGUAGCGGUGAAAUGCGUAGAUAUCUGGAGGAAUACCGGUGGCGAAGGCGGGUCUCUGGGCUAACACUGACGCUCAUGCACGAAAGCGUGGGGAGCAAACAGG